RNAcentral lists this ribosomal RNA (253 nucleotides) under uncultured bacterium. Its description in RNAcentral is "partial 16S ribosomal RNA". It matches the Rfam family "Bacterial small subunit ribosomal RNA", at positions 524 to 776 of the family's 1533-position model. The record is from RNAcentral.
UACGUAGGGUGCAAGCGUUGUCCGGAAUUAUUGGGCGUAAAGAGCUCGUAGGCGGUCUGUCGCGUCGGCUGUGGAAUCCCGAGGCUCAACCUCGGGCCUGCAGUCGAUACGGGCAGACUAGAGUGUGGUAGGGGAGACUGGAAUUCCUGGUGUAGCGGUGAAAUGCGCAGAUAUCAGGAGGAACACCGGUGGCGAAGGCGGUUCUCUGGGCAUUACCUGACGCUGAGGAGCGAAAGUGUGGGGAGCGAACAGG